RNAcentral lists this ribosomal RNA (415 nucleotides) under uncultured crenarchaeote. RNAcentral's name for it is "partial 16S ribosomal RNA". It matches the Rfam family "Archaeal small subunit ribosomal RNA", at positions 330 to 747 of the family's 1478-position model. The record is from RNAcentral. Lineage: Archaea; Thermoproteati; Thermoproteota.
GCGCAGCAGUCGCGAAAACUCCGCAAUACGCGAAAGCGCGACGGGGCCAUCCCGAGUGCCGUCCGCUGAGGAUGGCUUUUCCCUAGUGUAGAUAGCUGGGGGAAUAAGGAGAGGGCAAGUCUGGUGUCAGCCGCCGCGGUAAUACCAGCUCUCCGAGUGGUAGGGAUGAUUAUUGGGCUUAAAGCGUCCGUAGCCGGCUCAGCAAGUCCCCCGUUAAAUCCAACGAUUCAAUCGUUGGACUGCGGGAGAUACUGCUGGGCUAGGAGGCGGGAGAGGCCGACGGUAUUCCCGGGGUAGGGGUGAAAUCCUAUAAUCCCGGGAGGACCACCAGUGGCGAAGGCUGUCGGCUAGAACGCGCUCGACGGUGAGGGACGAAAGCUGGGGGAGCGAACCGGAUUAGAUACCCGCGUAGUCC